AAACCAUUUUUCAAAAAAAAAAAUGGGAAAUGAUCAAUAGGUGCACUUCUAGCUCAGGCAGGGGACUUUGUAUUACUGUUGCAAUACUAUUCAUCCUUGUUCCUACUUGUAUGAAGUAAUAUCUAUAGUACAAUGCAGACUCUGUCUUUCGUCAUAAGAACUUUGUCAAUGAAAGAUGCUCUUUGUUUGACACAGUCAGACUUCCCACUGUGUGCAAAACAAAUUUGGGGCAAUUCAGCUUUUGGGGCGUAAGAGAAAAGUGUUUCAUAUUUUGCAUAAAUGGUGACUCCCUGGGGUCAGUGAGGUGGGGCUAAUAUAUUGCAGAAAUGUAAAAAAAAAAAAAAAAAGGAAAAAAAAAACCCACUAAAUUCCUUCCUGCAUUUGGUCCAUAUUUCUGUAGAAAGGUAGAAAAAUAAUUGUAAAUUAAAAUGUUACUUAAGAUGAUUUUGCCAUGUUAACUGAAAUAGCCAGGUGAGCAAUGCAGGCCCUCUGGGCCUCUUGUUUAAUAUUAUUUUUAAAUCUUUAUUUCUUUUCUAGAAGGUACCAAAAUGAUGAAUGAAUCCAAUGUAUCCCACUCCAUCCUAUGAAUACAAUGAGAUAAGAUCCUCAAAAGGCAUCUCCUCUCUAUUGAGUGAUCAGGACUUCCAGUUUUUCAUCUUUCAGGGAAAGGACCAACAUGAUCAUUCUAUUAAGUCAUGGGAAACAAGACUGGCCUAGCUGCUGUAAAAGUGUAUUAUUUUGAAUAUUACUUGAAGUUGCAAAAAAAAAAAAAAAUAUUUCAAACAAAUCCAGCAUUCUCUCCAUUCGAUCUACAAGGCACUGGCUUUGUAAGUUACAUAUUCAUGGAUUUCUCACUGAUCAAUCUGACACAAGAAAACUGAUGCUGGUAAAAGAUUUUUUUGGAAAUGGCAGAAUGGUACUAGUUGGUGUAGGCACUUAAGGUAACGAAUUAUGUCUGAAAAAAAAAUGUAGCAUAAAUACUACAAAUUACUGAGUAAGAUUUCUAUAGUUUGACUUAGUUAUUUUCUCAUAUUUGGAAAGUUUUCUCAUAUGUGGCAUAACUGUUUGCUUGUGCAGUUUAGGUGUGAUUCAAGUGAUGUAUGUCUUCAGUGAGGGUACCAGAGGUGACAAACAGGAUACCAGUUUUUAUCCGAAAUGAUCUCAGGAAGGUUGAAAAGAAAACAUGAUGAUGAUGUGUAGAAGUAGAGUGUAAGGUUACCUUACUAUUAACUCUGAAUGUAAACUUUGAACAUAUAUUUCUGACUUCAUGUAACAUUUUAUUUACAGGCCAUCCAUGACAAAGAUGUCUUGAUGAAUGACAGAAAAAUCAAACAAUGCCAUUGACCUUGAUUAAAACCAGUAUUAGCUGUCACUUCUGAAUAAGGAUCCUGUGUGAAAAGUCAUGAUUUCACCUCUACCCCUAACCCGGAUGUAUGUAAUCCAUGUUGGUGACACAUUUUGACAGCUAUCUCCAGAAACUGCCCAACAUGCUGUGUUGAAACUUUUAUAUUUUGCUUCUCAGAUGUUGGUCUUGGCCAGGCAGUCACACCAUUGAACAACUGGCUGGUGAGAGUUAACAGCUUCAGUGUUCUCCCGGCAGAUUACCGAGGAAACUUCCCAAACAUCAGGUCUACCAACACUGUAUUCUUGUCUCGUGAUGUUAAAUAUCGUAUGGAGAGAAGUUCUUCCUUUAAGAUUGUG
This is a long non-coding RNA of Pecten maximus, 1701 nucleotides long. RefSeq lists it as uncharacterized. The transcript is spliced from 4 exons. The record is from RefSeq and is a predicted model, not a curated record. NCBI's taxonomy places the organism in Eukaryota, Metazoa, Mollusca, Bivalvia, Pectinida, Pectinidae.